This 1686-nucleotide long non-coding RNA is filed under the name Mytilus galloprovincialis (Mediterranean mussel). The record is from RNAcentral. Lineage: Eukaryota; Metazoa; Mollusca; Bivalvia; Mytilida; Mytilidae.
CGCAAAAUUGCAAACAAUUAUCCAUGCCUAUUGAUAGUUAAUGUUUUUAAAACAUCUUAGGUAUAAAAUACCGUCAGGCUUUUUCAGACAUUGCCCAAAAGAAUGGCGUUUGUUGUAUUGCUACUUUAAGUACGAGUUUGUGUAAAAAUAUCGAGAAAUAAGAUUAAAAUCUCCCUCUUUGUAAUAUUCUCUCAUGUGCAUAUUUAAACGAGGAGGUAUGAUAAGAAUCCCUUUCAAGGUCCCUACAACUGCAAAUGAAUUGUUACAAAUAUUAAGCUGUGAAAUUCUUGGCAUGAUAUGAUUUAAUUUCACUUUGCCAAAGUUUCACUGUGGUGAAAUAGAAAUAUCAAAGUUUACAUAUUUGACCUAAAAUGGUCGUUUUUACACGUACUGUGGAGGCAAAUUACAUGAGCACAGCCAUUUUUGUAAAGAAAUAUUAUCCACAUUAACGUCUUAUGUAUAGCUACCUUGAAAUAAAGAACAAAGACUGUGGCUAACGUUAAAAACACAUUAUAACGGAUCUCAAAACGAAGUAAAUAUAGUUCGACUUUUUGCUGUUUUGCCAUUAAAUGCAAGGUUUAAAUUCUGUAUCCAAGACCAAAAAAAAAAAAAAAAAUACUGUCAUGGCUUCUUACAACAGAUCAAAUGUCUUAUGCACAUCUGAAGAAUGUCAUUUGAUUUAUUUAAUGCUUUGAUUUUAAUGUCAAGAGGGACAUGACAUUGACCUUAUCGGCUCCACCUUAUCACACCUCCCCCUUUCGGGGAUUUAACUAAAUAAGUCCUCAACCCUUUAGUUUGUUCUAGCAUAACUUUUUUUUAGUUUUUAUUAUUUUUGAACUAUGUUAAUUAUUCUUUUCCAGAAACACAGAUAGUGUUUUUACAUUCUUAUUUUGUUGAACCAUUCAUGUGAUACCCAAAAUACUCUUUAUUGUUUAUUUUUUAGUUCCUGAAAUAAUUGUGUUUGUUUUUAAAGACAUAUCCCCCGUGGAUAUAAUAAUUAUCACAUGUAUGGAAAUUUAUAAAAUUGUUUUGUGUCUAUUUAAACACAGGUAGUGUUUUUAAUGUUUGGUUUACUUUUUUGAUAUGGAUUCACAUGUUUAUGGGAGCCGGAUAUGACUUCCAUUUAUUUCUCGAUUUCUGCUUAGGCUAACUUUUCAAGUGAUUGCCUAACUAAUGCGUAUUGACAUUGCGUAGCCUAAUGUUAACACUAUCUUACCUAUUCAUGGUUAUUUUACAAGGACAGAAACUGUUCCUUUCAUUUACACUAUCUUACCAUGAAGGACAGACACUGAUUCCAAUGAGAAUGAUUCACAUUAAACGAAAAUCACUUCGAACAUUACAUCGUGUUGUAUUGACUUUGCUUAUAUUUUGACAUUCCACUUUAAACACCCACAAAUGAUAAGAAGCGUAUCGUAAUUGAUGUUGUAUUGUGGGAACGCCAUAUUGCUUUAAUGUCCCUGCCAAAUAAAACCUUUUUUUCUGAGUACUAAAUAUGUUAUUUUUCUAACAAUGCAUAUUACUAAAUUGUAUGCGGCUUAGAUGCAAUACUGAAAAAACAAGUUGUUCAAAAAUAUGUUGAACACCUCACAAACUGAUUUUUUUUUUGGCAUUAUAAUAAGUGCAAUUCCUCAAAUGUAUGUGAUCUACAAAAGUGAUAUCUAAAAUAAUGAAUUUGAUAUUUCAGAG